UGGCCUAGUGGUUAGAGUGUAGAGGUGGCAGGUAGCCUAGUGGUUAGAGUGUAGAGGUGGCAGGUAGCCUAGUGGUUAGAGCGUAGAGGUGGCAGGUAGCCUAGUGGUUAGAGCGUAGAGGUGGCAGGUAGCCUAGUGGUUAGAGCGUAGAGGUGGCAGGUAGCCUAGUGGUUAGAGUGUAGAGAUGGCAGGUAGCCUAGUGGUUAGAGUGUAGAGGUGGCAGGUAGCCUAGUGGUUAGAGUGUAGAGGUGGCAGGUAGCCUAGUGGUUAGAGUGUAGAGAUGGCAGGUAGCCUAGUGGUUUGAGUGUAGAGGUGGCAGGUAGCCUAGUGGUUAGAGUGUAGAGGUGGCAGGUAGCCUAGUGGUUAGAGUGUAGAGGUGGCAGGUAGCCUAGUGGUUAGAGUGUAGAGGUGGCAGGUAGCCUAGUGGUUAGAGUGUAGAGGUGGCAGGUAGCCUAGUGGUUAGAGCGUAGAGGUGGCAGGUAGCCUAGUGGUUAGAGUGUAGAGGUGGCAGGUAGCCUAGUGGUUAGAGUGUAGAGGUGGCAGGUAGCCUAGUGGUUAGAGUGUAGAGGUGGCAGGUAGCCUAGUGGUUAGAGCGUAGAGGUGGCAGGUAGCCUAGUGGUUAGAGCGUAGAGGUGGCAGGUAGCCUAGUGGUUAGAGUGUAGAGGUGGCAGGUAGCCUAGUGGUUAGAGUGUGGAGGUGGCAGGUAGCCUAGUGGUUAGAGCGUAGAGGUGGCAGGUAGCCUAGUGGUUAGAGCGUAGAGGUGGCAGGUAGCCUAGUGGUUAGAGCGUAGAGGUGGCAGGUAGCCUAGUGGUUAGAGCGUAGAGGUGGCAGGUAGCCUAGUGGUUAGAGUGUAGAGGUGGCAGGUAGCCUAGUGGUUAGAGUGUAGAGGUGGCAGGUAGCCUAGUGGUUAGAGCGUAGAGGUGGCAGGUAGCCUAGUGGUUAGAGUGUAGAGGUGGCAGGUAGCCUAGUGGUUAGAGUGUAGAGGUGGCAGGUAGCCUAGUGGUUAGAGUGUAGAGGUGGCAGGUAGCCUAGUGGUUAGAGUGUAGAGGUGGCAGGUAGCCUAGUGGUUAGAGUGUAGAGGUGGCAGGUAGCCUAGUGGUUAGAGUGUAGAGGUGGCAGGUAGCCUAGUGGUUAGAGUGUAGAGGUGGCAGGUAGCCUAGUGGUUAGAGUGUUUGA
Oncorhynchus keta (chum salmon) is the source of this 1176-nucleotide long non-coding RNA. RefSeq lists it as uncharacterized. The record is from RefSeq and is a predicted model, not a curated record. The transcript is spliced from 5 exons. NCBI's taxonomy places the organism in Eukaryota, Metazoa, Chordata, Actinopteri, Salmoniformes, Salmonidae.